This 253-nucleotide ribosomal RNA is filed under the name uncultured bacterium. RNAcentral describes it as "partial 16S ribosomal RNA". It matches the Rfam family "Bacterial small subunit ribosomal RNA", at positions 524 to 776 of the family's 1533-position model. The record is from RNAcentral.
UACGUAGGGUGCGAGCGUUGUCCGGAAUUAUUGGGCGUAAAGAGCUCGUAGGCGGCUUGUCGCGUCGGUUGUGAAAGCCCGGGGCUUAACUCCGGGUCUGCAGUCGAUACGGGCAGGCUAGAGUGUGGUAGGGGAGAUCGGAAUUCCUGGUGUAGCGGUGAAAUGCGCAGAUAUCAGGAGGAACACCGGUGGCGAAGGCGGGUCUCUGGGCCGAUACUGACGCUGAGGAGCGAAAGCGUGGGGAGCGAACAGG